Armillaria borealis is the source of this 81-nucleotide non-coding RNA. Lineage: Eukaryota; Fungi; Basidiomycota; Agaricomycetes; Agaricales; Physalacriaceae. The record is from the annotation of a GenBank genome assembly.
UCUCUGAUAGUAUAUCGGUUAGUACACGCGCCUGUCAUGUGGGUUUCGCGCGAAAGCUGGGUUCGACUCCCAGUCAGAGAG